This is a long non-coding RNA of Piliocolobus tephrosceles (Ugandan red Colobus), 1010 nucleotides long. RefSeq lists it as uncharacterized. The record is from RefSeq and is a predicted model, not a curated record. NCBI's taxonomy places the organism in Eukaryota, Metazoa, Chordata, Mammalia, Primates, Cercopithecidae. The transcript has 3 exons.
AAGUCAUUACCAUGUGGCUACCCUUUAAGGAGCAACCAGAACCACUAAGACCAAAAGAGAAUCCUGACAUCUGGUGAGGUGAAGGAGGAGGGCCCUAGUACCUUUAUUUGUGGGUAGAACUGGGCUUCUGUGACCUGAAAAUCUAAGGACCAAACAUCAACUUUACAAUAAAGAACCUGAGCUCUGGUAGAAGAGAGACAAUGGUUACUUCUUUUCAUGGAUUCUAAAUUCUAUCUGCCAGUCACUUUUCAUGUGUGCAUUCAUUGGUGUACAGAAUGGAAUUACAGAGGCAGAAGAAAAUGAGGUGUCUGCCAAAUUGAUAGUUUAAAAAACAUUUUAAUGGCCUACUUAACUGUAAUUUGUUUCAGUUUUAAACAGGAAAAACCUCAGCAUGUAAGCAAAGCAGACUGGACUUGAACAGAUAUGGAAUGCAAAGCACACAGGAGAGUCAUGGGGGUCCUGAAGAGCGAUUAGAAGUUGUUAUGCGAUGAACAACAUUGCAUUGGAGACAGAAUGGAUUAAAUUAAACAGUAGUGCAUAUCACUUGGCUAAAAUGACAGGAGUAAAGAACAGAAUGCAUCCACUCCUCCAGCCUCAUUAAGCUGCCUCUUUCUCCUGAAAUUAGAUUGGGAUUCCAGGACACCUCUCAACCUACAGGAAACACUGGAUCUAAGCUGAAACAGGCUUUUAAAAAGAUUUGCACAAUACAUCCUUCAUAUUGUUAUUUUUAUCUCUGUAAGUUUGUAAUGGCCUCUAAAAAAAAAAAGCUGUGUAACAAGAGCAUCAGAUGUUACUUUGCUCACUGUUGAAGGCUGUGAAGAACAGAAGAAAACUAGGAAGAAAACCAAGCUGGGAAGGGCAAUGAAGGAAUGAGUUAGAGUUCAAAAGUAAAAGUAUGUUCCAUAUAAAAGAAAGAGUUCACGUACGUGAGUCAGCAGCAAUGCAAGGGUAUGAGAUGUGCUUUUAGAGAGAAUUGAACUUGUCAAUGUGACUCAGCUCUGGAAGACUAA